This is a long non-coding RNA of Eupeodes corollae, 424 nucleotides long. RefSeq lists it as uncharacterized. The transcript is spliced from 2 exons. NCBI's taxonomy places the organism in Eukaryota, Metazoa, Arthropoda, Insecta, Diptera, Syrphidae. The record is from RefSeq and is a predicted model, not a curated record.
UUUUGAUAUAAAUUAUGCAGAGAACCCAACCCUAAGCAUCAGACAGCAUCAGUCAGCUCUCAGUUAAAGAAUACUUCAAAUAUUUUUAUUAGCAAUCCCUUAAUCAUGUUCAAAUACGUCGUUUUCUUCUGUUUAUUUGCUGCAGUCUUUGCUGAGCCUGGAAUUCUCAGACCAGCCAUCUCGAUUGCAGCUAGACCAGCAAUUAUUUCAGCAGCACCUGUUGGAAUUAUUCGUUCGCCAAUUAUUGCUCCAGUUGGUGUUCGAGUUGGUGUACCAAUUGGAAUUAAAAGCGGAUUGAUUUCUGGUGGAUUGAUUCAUUAGUUCCUGAAAUUCGUAUAUUGGAUGCAAAAUAAGUCUAAAACAUUUUAAUGUUUUUGCAAAUGACUGUAAAGCGAAUAAACUAUUGUUUUUGUUGGAAAACAAA